Molecule: long non-coding RNA, 1695 nt
Organism: Apis cerana (Asiatic honeybee)
Lineage: Eukaryota; Metazoa; Arthropoda; Insecta; Hymenoptera; Apidae
Source: RefSeq, a predicted model, not a curated record
CUCAAAUUCGACUAACUUAUACAAGUUUCUACGUAAGAAUUAUAAGAAAAAUAAUUAUGGCAAUCAAGAUUUUUAAAUAUUACUAUUUACUUUAUAGUUUAAUUUUUAUAAAACAUUUUAUAGCUUGGAAUCAAGUUAUAAAAAAAAGACCAUUGCAUUUUUAUUUAAACAAGUUUUUAUUUAAAAGUUUACAUACUUGGUGUCUCUGGUGUAAAAAAAAAAAAAUGUUAGAUACAUACAAUUUAUGGCUAUUAAAGAAAUAAACAAAUCAGUCCAUAUCAAAGAAUUUUAUAAUCUUGCAAUUAUUAGAAACAAGCAAAAUUGUGGUAUUAUCGUUACAUCAAUCGGUAUGUUUCUUUCCUUUUUAUUAUUUUCCUCUUCCUUUUCUUUUUUCCCUUAUUUUUUAAUAAAUUCUCAACACGCGACACUUUAUCACGCGUCGAAACCACAUAUAUUUCAAGUUGUAGCGUGACGCACAGAGAAACGCUUCUACACCCUUCGUGAUAAAUCACCAGAGGAAAAGAGACAGAAAGAGAGGCCACCGUCAUAAAUUCUCGAAUCUCUCCCGCCUUUUAAAUGUUUAAAAAAAAAAAUGAAAGAUUUCCAGGAUUCUCGUUUAACUUCGGAUCAUUCGACCAUCUUAAAACUCUCGACACGAUAAGAGAUUCUAUUGAGAUAUUUUUAGUUUCGAAGAUGAUUAUCCAUGAUUUAACAAAAGUUACGUAUAAUAAUUGGAAUUGAAAACGUCAAGAUAAUGAGAAUCAAAUCAAGAAUGUUUUCUGAAUUCAUCGUAAUCGAAACACAAAAUAAACGUUAUUUUAAUCGGAUACUUUCAUCGCAUAACGAAAGGAAAAUGGCGAAAUUUAUAAAUUUAUCGUUGAAAAGAAGAGUGGAUGGAUCAAUCAUGAACCAACGAAUCAAGUAAACCAGGAAAAUUCCUGGUUAGGAAAACAAAAGUUAGGGAUCGUGGAAAAGUUUGAUAACUCUAUAUCUUUCUUAUUCUUCCCUUUCUUUUCAGCUGAAAUGGUUCGAUGCAAAAUCUAUAGCCGGUAAAAGGCGAUCGUGAAGCAAUAUCAGACAUGGAAGAAACGUUGAAUUAUUCAACCCGAAGGCGAGGAAAAUGUUUUGAUUAUGCCAGGCCACGGACGCACGCGCACGUGUAUACGUGCACGGAUUCUCUGCGCGGUGGCCACGGCCGAAAUUAGUUGGAUAUUCGAAUAAUUAACGAAAAUAGCAGAGACGAGAUGGUUUUGCGGGUUUCUAUUAUAAAAGUGAAUACGUAGAGUUAUGUCGAGUCGAAUGAACGAUAAUGUUUGCAAAUUGGAUUUGUACACAGAGAGAUUAAUCUCUAAUAUGAAAUUAGAUUUUUGAAAAAGGAAAGAAAAAGUUUCGAAAUGUUGAAAUUCAAUUUUUUUUUUUUUUUAGACGAAGCCAGAUUUCUGAAACAAAAACGAAAGUGAUGAAAAUCCUUGAGAUUGAAGAAAGAAAAUUUUAUAGUAGUUGCUUCAAAUCUUUACUGAAUAGAGAGUUCUGAAAAUGAAUGGAGUUUGAUAUAAGAAAAGAAAGCGCCGAUUAUUAGAAACGAUUAAAGAAGAUUGUACUCGAAUAAUGAACGUUUCAAAAUUUCAACUUUGAAUAUCUAUUAAAAGCAAAACUUCAAAAAACUAAAAUUUAUCCAUAGAAAAAAAACUGAAA